UGGGGAAUAUUGCACAAUGGAGGAAACUCUGAUGCAGCGACGUCGCGUGAGCGAAGAAGGUUUUCGAAUCGUAAAGCUCUGUCCUAUGGGAAGAAGAAAGACGGUACCAUAGAAGAAAGCCCCGGCUAACUACGUGCCAGCAGCCGCGGUAAUACGUAGGGGGCGAACGUUAUCCGGAAUGAUUGGGCGUAAAGGGUACGUAGGCGGACCUGUAAGUCAGGUGUGAAAGGCAUGGGCUCAACCCAUGUAAGCACUUGAAACUGCGGGCCUUGAGGGAAGGAGAGGUAAGUGGAAUUCCUAGUGUAGCGGUGAAAUGCGUAGAUAUUAGGAGGAAUACCGGUGGCGAAGGCGACUUACUGGACUUUUACUGACGCUGAGGUACGAAAGCGUGGGGAGCAAACA
RNAcentral lists this ribosomal RNA (402 nucleotides) under uncultured Tissierellaceae bacterium. RNAcentral's name for it is "bacterial SSU rRNA". It matches the Rfam family "Bacterial small subunit ribosomal RNA", at positions 355 to 774 of the family's 1533-position model. The record is from RNAcentral. Lineage: Bacteria; Bacillati; Bacillota; Tissierellia; Tissierellales; Tissierellaceae.